RNAcentral lists this ribosomal RNA (439 nucleotides) under uncultured bacterium. RNAcentral describes it as "partial 16S ribosomal RNA". It matches the Rfam family "Bacterial small subunit ribosomal RNA", at positions 339 to 795 of the family's 1533-position model. The record is from RNAcentral.
CUACGGGUGGCUGCAGUGAGGAAUAUUGCACAAUGGGGGGAACCCUGAUGCAGCAACGCCGCGUGGAGGAUGACGCAUUUCGGUGUGUAAACUCCUUUUAUAUGUCAAGAAAAUGACGGUAGCAUAUGAAUAAGCACCGGCUAACUCCGUGCCAGCAGCCGCGGUAAUACGGAGGGUGCAAGCGUUACUCGGAAUCACUGGGCGUAAAGGACGCGUAGGCGGGUUGGAAAGUCAGGUGUGAAAUCCUACAGCUUAACUGUAGAACUGCACUUGAAACUGGUAACCUAGAGUAUGGGAGGGGGAGAUGGAAUUAGUGGUGUAGGGGUAAGAUCCGUAGAUAUCACUAGGAAUACCUAAAGCGAAGGCGAUCUCCUGGAACAUAACUGACGCUAAGGCGUGAAAGCGUGGGGAGCAAACAGGAUUAGAUACCCCUGUAGUC